UAUUGGGCAAUGGAGGAAACUCUGACCCAGCGACGCCGCGUGAGGGAUGAAGGCCUUCGGGUUGUAAACCUCUUUCAGUAGGGAAGAAGCGAAAGUGACGGUACCUACAGAAGAAGCACCGGCUAACUAUGUGCCAGCAGCCGCGGUAAUACAUAGGGUGCAAGCGUUGUCCGGAAUUAUUGGGCGUAAAGAGCUCGUAGGUGGUUCGAUACGUCGGAUGUGAAAAUCAGGGGCUCAACCCCUGACCUGCAUCCGAUACGGUCGAGCUAGAGUUUGGUAGGGGAGACUGGAAUUCCUGGUGUAGCGGUGGAAUGCGCAGAUAUCAGGAGGAACACCGAUGGCGAAGGCAGGUCUCUGGGCCAAUACUGACACUGAGAGCGAA
RNAcentral lists this ribosomal RNA (382 nucleotides) under uncultured bacterium. RNAcentral describes it as "bacterial SSU rRNA". It matches the Rfam family "Bacterial small subunit ribosomal RNA", at positions 362 to 757 of the family's 1533-position model. The record is from RNAcentral.